RNAcentral lists this ribosomal RNA (474 nucleotides) under uncultured organism. Its description in RNAcentral is "partial 16S ribosomal RNA". It matches the Rfam family "Bacterial small subunit ribosomal RNA", at positions 335 to 800 of the family's 1533-position model. The record is from RNAcentral.
ACUCCUACGGGAGGCAGCAGUGGGGAAUAUUGCACAAUGGGCGCAAGCCUGAUGCAGCCAUGCCGCGUGUAUGAAGAAGGCCUUCGGGUUGUAAAGUACUUUCAGCGGGGAGGAAGGCGAUAAGGUUAAUAACCUUGUCGAUUGACGUUACCCGCAGAAGAAGCACCGGCUAACUCCGUGCCAGCAGCCGCGGUAAUACGGAGGGUGCAAGCGUUAAUCGGAAUUACUGGGCGUAAAGCGCACGCAGGCGGUCUGUCAAGUCGGAUGUGAAAUCCCCGGGCUCAACCUGGGAACUGCAUUCGAAACUGGCAGGCUAGAGUCUUGUAGAGGGGGGUAGAAUUCCAGGUGUAGCGGUGAAAUGCGUAGAGAUCUGGAGGAAUACCGGUGGCGAAGGCGGCCCCCUGGACAAAGACUGACGCUCAGGUGCGAAAGCGUGGGGAGCAAACAGGAUUAGAAACCCCAGUAGUCCCAUGA